UUGAACGCUGGCGGCAUGGCUAAAACAUGCAAGUCGAACGCGAAAGGUAGCAAUACCGAGUAGAGUGGCGAACGGGCGAGUAAUGCAUUCCUAACGUGCCUCGAGGUCGGGGAUAGCUGUCCGAAAGGACAGGUAAUACCCGAUGAUCCAGCCGGAUCGCAUGAUCUGGCUGGCAAAGGUUUACUGUCUUGAGAUCGGGGAAUGUCCUAUCAGGUAGUUGGUGAGGUAACGGCUCACCAAGCCGAAGACGGGUAGCGGGUGUGAGAGCAUGACCCGCCGCAUCGGGACUGAGACACUGCCCGGACUCCUACGGGAGGCUGCAGUAACGAAUCUUCCGCAAUGCGAGAAAGCGUGACGGAGCAAUGCCGCGUGUGGGAUGAAGCCCUUCGGGGUGUAAACCACUGUCAGGGGUUACCAAAACCGAGGAUCCCCAAAGGAAGAGCCGGCUAACUCUGU
Molecule: ribosomal RNA, 456 nt
Filed under: uncultured bacterium
Lineage: Bacteria
Description: bacterial SSU rRNA
Rfam family: Bacterial small subunit ribosomal RNA
Source: RNAcentral